RNAcentral lists this ribosomal RNA (306 nucleotides) under Stygobromus mackini. Its description in RNAcentral is "partial 16S ribosomal RNA". The stretch from base 171 to 306 matches the Rfam family "Bacterial large subunit ribosomal RNA", at positions 2473 to 2610 of the family's 2925-position model. The record is from RNAcentral. Lineage: Eukaryota; Metazoa; Arthropoda; Malacostraca; Amphipoda; Crangonyctidae.
GACGACAAGACCCUAAAAGCUUUAAUUUUAUCUUAUUAAAUUUUUUAAUUUUAAACCUUUAUAAUUUAUAAAUAUUAACUGGGGAAGUUUAAAUAAUUAAUUUAUUUUUAUGUAAACUGAAAGACUUCUAGAUCCUUGAUAUUAGGAUAUUUUGAAAUAGUUACUUUAGGGAUAACAGCGUAAUAAUUUUUAAGAGCCCUUAUCAACAAAAUUGUCUGCGACCUCGAUGUUGAAUUGGAAAAUCUACUUAUAGAAAAAGAUAACUAAGAAGAUUGUUCAAUCUUUAAAUUUCCACAUGAUCUGAGU